AGGACGAACGCUGGCGGCGUGCUUAACACGUGCAAGUCGAGCGGAAAGGCCCUUCGGGGUACUCGAGCGGCGAACGGGUGAGUAACACGUGAGUAAUCUGCCCCUAGCUCUGGGAUAGCUCCGGGAAACCGGGAUUAAUACCAGAUACGACCACUUUAGACAUCUGUUGUGGUGGAAAGAAUUUUGGCUAGGGAUGAGCUCGCGGCCUAUCAGCUUGUUGGUGAGGUAACGGCUCACCAAGGCGACGACGGGUAGCCGGCCUGAGAGGGCGACCGGCCACACUGGGACUGAGACACGGCCCAGACUCCUACGGGAGGCAGCAGUGGGGAAUAUUGCGCAAUGGGCGAAAGCCUGACGCAGCGACGCCGCGUGGGGGAUGAAGGCCUUCGGGUUGUAAACCCCUUUCAGCAGGACGAAGCGAAAGUGACGGUACCUGCAGAAGAAGCGCCGGCUAACUACGCGUCAGCAGCCGC
RNAcentral lists this ribosomal RNA (473 nucleotides) under uncultured bacterium. RNAcentral's name for it is "SSU rRNA". It matches the Rfam family "Bacterial small subunit ribosomal RNA", at positions 26 to 518 of the family's 1533-position model. The record is from RNAcentral.